Molecule: transfer RNA, 77 nt
Filed under: compost metagenome
Description: tRNA-His
Rfam family: tRNA
About the family: Transfer RNA (tRNA) molecules are approximately 80 nucleotides in length. Their secondary structure includes four short double-helical elements and three loops (D, anti-codon, and T loops). Further hydrogen bonds mediate the characteristic L-shaped molecular structure. tRNAs have two regions of fundamental functional importance: the anti-codon, which is responsible for specific mRNA codon recognition, and the 3' end, to which the tRNAs corresponding amino acid is attached (by aminoacyl-tRNA synthetases). tRNAs cope with the degeneracy of the genetic code in two manners: having more than one tRNA (with a specific anti-codon) for a particular amino acid; and 'wobble' base-pairing, i.e. permitting non-standard base-pairing at the 3rd anti-codon position.
Source: RNAcentral
GUGAAUGUAGUUCAGCUGGUUAGAAUAUCCGGAUGUGACCCGGAUGGUCAGGGGUUCGAGCCCCCUCAUUCACACCA